AGUGAACGCUGGCGGUAGGCCUAACACAUGCAAGUCGAACGGCAGCACAGUAAGAGCUUGCUCUUACGGGUGGCGAGUGGCGGACGGGUGAGGAAUACAUCGGAAUCUACUUUUUCGUGGGGGAUAACGUAGGGAAACUUACGCUAAUACCGCAUACGACCUACGGGUGAAAUCAGGGGAUCUUCGGACCUUGCGCGAUUGAAUGAGCCGAUGUCGGAUUAGCUAGUUGGCGGGGUAAAGGCCCACCAAGGCGACGAUCCGUAGCUGGUCUGAGAGGAUGAUCAGCCACACUGGAACUGAGACACGGUCCAGACUCCUACGGGAGGCAGCAGUGGGGAAUAUUGGAAAAUGGGAGAAAGCCUGAUCCAGCCAUACCGCGUGGGUGAAGAAGGCCUUCGGGUUGUAAAGCCCUUUUGUUGGGAAAGAAAAGCAGCAGGUUAAUACCCCGCUGUUCUGACGGUACACAAAGAAUAAGCACCGGAUAACUUC
This 489-nucleotide ribosomal RNA is filed under the name uncultured bacterium. RNAcentral's name for it is "partial 16S ribosomal RNA". It matches the Rfam family "Bacterial small subunit ribosomal RNA", at positions 29 to 504 of the family's 1533-position model. The record is from RNAcentral.